RNAcentral lists this ribosomal RNA (541 nucleotides) under uncultured Gallionellaceae bacterium. Its description in RNAcentral is "bacterial SSU rRNA". It matches the Rfam family "Bacterial small subunit ribosomal RNA", at positions 135 to 671 of the family's 1533-position model. The record is from RNAcentral. Lineage: Bacteria; Pseudomonadati; Pseudomonadota; Betaproteobacteria; Nitrosomonadales; Gallionellaceae.
AGUGGGGGAUAGCUCGGCGAAAGCCGGAUUAAUACCGCAUAUGCCCUGAGGGGGAAAGUGGGGGACCGUAAGGCCUCACGCUUUCGGAGCGGCCGAUAUCAGAUUAGCUAGUUGGUGGGGUAAAGGCCUACCAAGGCGACGAUCUGUAGCGGGUCUGAGAGGAUGAUCCGCCACACUGGGACUGAGACACGGCCCAGACUCCUACGGGAGGCAGCAGUGGGGAAUUUUGGACAAUGGGCGAAAGCCUGAUCCAGCCAUGCCGCGUGAGUGAAGAAGGCCUUCGGGUUGUAAAGCUCUUUCAGACGGGAAGAAACGACUAUGGCUAAUAACCAUGGUUAAUGACGGUACUGUCAGAAGAAGCACCGGCUAACUACGUGCCAGCAGCCGCGGUAAUACGUAGGGUGCGAGCGUUAAUCGGAAUUACUGGGCGUAAAGCGUGCGCAGGCGGUUUUGUAAGACAGGUGUGAAAUCCCCGGGCUUAACCUGGGAACUGCAUUUGUGACUGCAAGGCUAGAGUACGGCAGAGGGGGGUAGAAUUCCA